AAACAGAUUGAUUUAGGCCCUUUUAAUGCAUGACAGACCUGCCCCAAGUGGCCUUUCUGUUCCCAGGAGUACAGCACAA
This 79-nucleotide small nucleolar RNA is filed under the name Octodon degus (degu). Its description in RNAcentral is "Small nucleolar RNA SNORA64/SNORA10 family (ENSODEG00000022545.1)". The record is from RNAcentral. Lineage: Eukaryota; Metazoa; Chordata; Mammalia; Rodentia; Octodontidae.